AGAACUUCAAAGGAUCACCGUGUGCUCUUUUUUAAAGGUAGAAGAUAUCUUUAAUGAAGGGGAAAAAGAUAAUAUUGAUUAAUUUUUGUUUCAUGUGAUGCAAUAAAAAUUUUACUGUACGCAUUUUAAUUGCAAACAGAGAAUAAUAAUGGAGACAAACAAAUAUAUAGUCGAAAUUCAAAAUUGUUUGCUUGAUUUUUAUGGUAGAAGCUUGUCUUCUUUCCUUUUUUUUAUUCAUUUACAUGUAGAUGUUGGCAGUCACUUAGAAAUUUUCUAAAUUGACAUUUAUUAAUGCCAUUUAAUUAGUAAUAUAAUUUUUUUAAAAGAAUUAGUAAUAUAAUUAUAAAAUGAUUUUUUUUAUUUUUUUAUUGUAGCACUAAAUAAAGAUAUAAUACAAAAAUAAUUAAUGAGAUACAUGAUAGAUUGAAUCCUAUUAUUGUCUGUGGACAAAAAUCACUUAUCCCCUUCCAUUAGUCUAACUAUUCUGUCAUUUAAAUGAUUCUAAAAUCACUUUUUUUUAUCAUUAGUUAUUAUCAAAAGUGGACAAUCCAACAUCGUUGGGUGAGUUUAGAGUAAUCUCAAUAGUGGGGGUUAAUUUAAAUUCAAUAUGUGAAUGAUACGUUGUUCUUUGGAGAGACUACCUUAAUAAUGUGGUUACAAUGCUAAGGUGUUUUGAACUCAUUUCAAUCUUAAAAGAGAACUUCCACAAAAGCUUUUUUGGUGCAUUGGGAGUGGAGGGAAGGGUGUUGGAGAGUUAUGCUAUAAUGAUUAAUUGUCAAAUCAUAAAAUUGUCUUUUGUUUACUGAUAACUGCUAAAUAAUUGUAUUUUGAUAGUAGAAAAUUAGUCAAAUAUUGGCCUGAAAUUAAUUAUUUAGCAGUUAUUUGUGAUUAAAAGUUAGAAAAUUAAUUAAAUUGAAUUUUUGGGUGCAGAUAUAAAAAUUGGAGGUGUAACAAGCAAAAAGGGUAAAAAAAUUGAAGAAAAGAAGAAAAUUUGAAGAAGGCCCAACCCAAUAUGUGCGCUCAGCGCGUGUCACGGGCUAAGCGGACCAGGAAGUACACGCGCUAAGCGCGGGGUGUCGUGCUAAGCGCGCCUACGAAGGCCCAAAGCUCACUUCAGCAACUAUAAAUAGAGGGUCAGUCCAAGGGACAGAACACACAACCACAGAACCCCCUUCUCCUAGGGGUUUCAUUUACUCCCUUUCUUUCUUUAACCCCUCCUCUCAUUGUAAAGCCCUCAUGACCAUGGGUGGCUAAUCCCCUAGCUAGGGCCUGGCAGGCCUAAAAAGCCAAUGAUGUAUAGAGCA
This 1304-nucleotide long non-coding RNA is filed under the name Glycine max (soybean). Its description in RNAcentral is "long non-coding RNA (GMAX_LNC001741)". The record is from RNAcentral. Lineage: Eukaryota; Viridiplantae; Streptophyta; Magnoliopsida; Fabales; Fabaceae.